This 346-nucleotide ribosomal RNA is filed under the name uncultured bacterium. RNAcentral's name for it is "partial 16S ribosomal RNA". It matches the Rfam family "Bacterial small subunit ribosomal RNA", at positions 338 to 681 of the family's 1533-position model. The record is from RNAcentral.
CCUACGGGCGGCAGCAGUGAGGAAUAGUGGUCAAUGGGCGCGAGCCUGAACCAGCCAAGUAGCGUGAAGGAUGACUGCCCUACGGGUUGUAAACUUCUUUUAUAAAGGAAUAAAGUGAGGCACGUGUGCCUUUUUGUAUGUACUUUAUGAAUAAGGAUCGGCUAACUCCGUGCCAGCAGCCGCGGUAAUACGGAGGAUCCGAGCGUUAUCCGGAUUUAGUGGGUUUACAGGGAGCGUAGAUGGGUUGUUAAGGCAGUUGUGAAAGUUUGCGGCUCAACCGUAAAAUUGCCAUUGAUACUGGCAGUCUUGCUUACAGUUGCGGUAGGCUGCAUUCGUGGUGUCGCGG